This 330-nucleotide ribosomal RNA is filed under the name uncultured eukaryote. RNAcentral describes it as "partial 18S ribosomal RNA". It matches the Rfam family "Eukaryotic small subunit ribosomal RNA", at positions 1470 to 1796 of the family's 1831-position model. The record is from RNAcentral.
CCCUUAGAUGUUCUGGGCCGCACGCGCGCUACACUGACGAAUGCAACGAGCUUAUAAUAACCUUGGCCGAAAGGUCUGGGUAAUCUCCAAAUUUCGUCGUGAUGGGGAUAGAUUAUUGCAAUUAUUAAUCUUCAACGAGGAAUGCCUAGUAAGCGCAAGUCAUCAGCUUGCGUUGAUUACGUCCCUGCCCUUUGUACACACCGCCCGUCGCUCCUACCGAUUGAAUGGUCCGGUGAAGCGUUCGGACCGUGGCCUUUGGACGGUUCGCCGUCUGUUGGCUGCAGGAAGUUCGUUAAACCUUAUCAUUUAGAGGAAGGAGAAGUCGUAACA